RNAcentral lists this ribosomal RNA (465 nucleotides) under Vreelandella stevensii. RNAcentral's name for it is "partial 16S ribosomal RNA". It matches the Rfam family "Bacterial small subunit ribosomal RNA", at positions 338 to 795 of the family's 1533-position model. Lineage: Bacteria; Pseudomonadati; Pseudomonadota; Gammaproteobacteria; Oceanospirillales; Halomonadaceae. The record is from RNAcentral.
CCUACGGGUGGCAGCAGUGGGGAAUAUUGGACAAUGGGCGAAAGCCUGAUCCAGCCAUGCCGCGUGUGUGAAGAAGGCCUUCGGGUUGUAAAGCACUUUCAGUGGGGAAGAAAGCCUUGGGGCUAAUACCCUCGAGGAAGGACAUCACCCACAGAAGAAGCACCGGCUAACUCCGUGCCAGCAGCCGCGGUAAUACGGAGGGUGCGAGCGUUAAUCGGAAUUACUGGGCGUAAAGCGCGCGUAGGCGGUCUGAUAAGCCGGUUGUGAAAGCCCCGGGCUCAACCUGGGAACGGCAUCCGGAACUGUCAGGCUAGAGUGCAGGAGAGGAAGGUAGAAUUCCCGGUGUAGCGGUGAAAUGCGUAGAGAUCGGGAGGAAUACCAGUGGCGAAGGCGGCCUUCUGGACUGACACUGACGCUGAGGUGCCAAAGCGUGGGUAGCAAACAGGAUUAGAUACCCUUGUAGUC